GAUUAAAAUGACCACCUGAGCACCAUAUCAAAGUAUUUACAGAUCUGAUUUGAUGUUGGACUGGGGUGUCAUGAUUCUCAAACUGUCUACUGCAGAUAAUGGAUCUGGGGUGGCAGAGAUGAUGUCAAGUUUUGAAACCAAUGCAGAAUUAAAGAUUGUCCAGUGAUUCUAUUUGAAUGUCUAUGUAGUGAUCAAAACCUGUGGGGUUUUUUUUUUUGUUUUUUUGCUGAAAUAAAACUUUGAAGUGGA
Long non-coding RNA from Ictalurus punctatus (channel catfish), 249 nucleotides. RefSeq lists it as uncharacterized. The transcript has 2 exons. Lineage: Eukaryota; Metazoa; Chordata; Actinopteri; Siluriformes; Ictaluridae. The record is from RefSeq and is a predicted model, not a curated record.